RNAcentral lists this ribosomal RNA (253 nucleotides) under uncultured bacterium. Its description in RNAcentral is "partial 16S ribosomal RNA". It matches the Rfam family "Bacterial small subunit ribosomal RNA", at positions 524 to 776 of the family's 1533-position model. The record is from RNAcentral.
UACGAAGGGUGCAAACGUUGCUCGGAAUUAUUGGGCGUAAAGCGCACGUAGGCGGCUUUGCAAGUCCCAUGUGAAAUCCCACGGCUCAACCGUGGAAGUGCAUGGGAAACUGCAGAGCUUGAGUACUUAAGAGGAUCGCGGAAUUCCCGGUGUAGAGGUGAAAUUCGUAGAUAUCGGGAGGAACACCGGUGGCAAGGCAGGCGAUCUGGGUAGAUACUGACGCUGAGGUGCGAAAGCGUGGGGAGCAAACAGG